This 76-nucleotide transfer RNA is filed under the name Caldalkalibacillus thermarum. Its description in RNAcentral is "tRNA-Ala". It matches the Rfam family "tRNA". Rfam says of the family: Transfer RNA (tRNA) molecules are approximately 80 nucleotides in length. Their secondary structure includes four short double-helical elements and three loops (D, anti-codon, and T loops). Lineage: Bacteria; Bacillati; Bacillota; Bacilli; Caryophanales; Bacillaceae. The record is from RNAcentral. RNAcentral also lists the same sequence under 2 other names.
GGGGCCAUAGCUCAGCUGGGAGAGCGCCACGCUGGCAGCGUGGAGGUCAGCGGUUCGAUCCCGCUUGGCUCCACCA